Molecule: ribosomal RNA, 2798 nt
Filed under: Klebsiella pneumoniae
Lineage: Bacteria; Pseudomonadati; Pseudomonadota; Gammaproteobacteria; Enterobacterales; Enterobacteriaceae
Description: partial 23S ribosomal RNA
Rfam family: Bacterial large subunit ribosomal RNA
Source: RNAcentral
CCGGCGAUGUCCGAAUGGGGAAACCCAGUGCAAUUCGUUGCACUAUCGUUAACUGAAUACAUAGGUUAACGAGGCGAACCGGGGGAACUGAAACAUCUAAGUACCCCGAGGAAAAGAAAUCAACCGAGAUUCCCCCAGUAGCGGCGAGCGAACGGGGAGCAGCCCAGAGUCUGAAUCAGCUUGUGUGUUAGUGGAACGGUCUGGAAAGUCCGACGGUACAGGGUGAUAGUCCCGUACACCAAAAUGCACAGGCUGUGAACUCGAAGAGUAGGGCGGGACACGUGGUAUCCUGUCUGAAUAUGGGGGGACCAUCCUCCAAGGCUAAAUACUCCUGACUGACCGAUAGUGAACCAGUACCGUGAGGGAAAGGCGAAAAGAACCCCGGCGAGGGGAGUGAAAAAGAACCUGAAACCGUGUACGUACAAGCAGUGGGAGCACCUUCGGGUGUGACUGCGUACCUUUUGUAUAAUGGGUCAGCGACUUAUAUUCUGUAGCAAGGUUAACCGUAUAGGGGAGCCGCAGGGAAACCGAGUCUUAACUGGGCGUUAAGUUGCAGGGUAUAGACCCGAAACCCGGUGAUCUAGCCAUGGGCAGGUUGAAGGUUGGGUAACACUAACUGGAGGACCGAACCGACUAAUGUUGAAAAAUUAGCGGAUGACUUGUGGCUGGGGGUGAAAGGCCAAUCAAACCGGGAGAUAGCUGGUUCUCCCCGAAAGCUAUUUAGGUAGCGCCUCGUGAAUUCAUCUUCGGGGGUAGAGCACUGUUUCGGCUAGGGGGUCAUCCCGACUUACCAACCCGAUGCAAACUACGAAUACCGAAGAAUGUUAUCACGGGAGACACACGGCGGGUGCUAACGUCCGUCGUGAAGAGGGAAACAACCCAGACCGCCAGCUAAGGUCCCAAAGUCAUGGUUAAGUGGGAAACGAUGUGGGAAGGCACAGACAGCCAGGAUGUUGGCUUAGAAGCAGCCAUCAUUUAAAGAAAGCGUAAUAGCUCACUGGUCGAGUCGGCCUGCGCGGAAGAUGUAACGGGGCUAAACCAUGCACCGAAGCUGCGGCAGCGACACUAUGUGUUGUUGGGUAGGGGAGCGUUCUGUAAGCCUGCGAAGGUGUGCUGUGAGGCAUGCUGGAGGUAUCAGAAGUGCGAAUGCUGACAUAAGUAACGAUAAAGCGGGUGAAAAGCCCGCUCGCCGGAAGACCAAGGGUUCCUGUCCAACGUUAAUCGGGGCAGGGUGAGUCGACCCCUAAGGCGAGGCCGAAAGGCGUAGUCGAUGGGAAACAGGUUAAUAUUCCUGUACUUGGUGUUACUGCGAAGGGGGGACGGAGAAGGCUAUGUUAGCCGGGCGACGGUUGUCCCGGUUUAAGCAUGUAGGCUGGUUGUCCAGGCAAAUCCGGAUAAUCAAGGCUGAGGUGUGAUGACGAGGCACUACGGUGCUGAAGUAACAAAUGCCCUGCUUCCAGGAAAAGCCUCUAAGCAUCAGGUAACAUCAAAUCGUACCCCAAACCGACACAGGUGGUCAGGUAGAGAAUACCAAGGCGCUUGAGAGAACUCGGGUGAAGGAACUAGGCAAAAUGGUGCCGUAACUUCGGGAGAAGGCACGCUGGUGUGUAGGUGAAGUCCCUGCGGAUGGAGCUGAGACCAGUCGAAGAUACCAGCUGGCUGCAACUGUUUAUUAAAAACACAGCACUGUGCAAACACGAAAGUGGACGUAUACGGUGUGACGCCUGCCCGGUGCCGGAAGGUUAAUUGAUGGGGUUAUCCGUAAGGAGAAGCUCUUGAUCGAAGCCCCGGUAAACGGCGGCCGUAACUAUAACGGUCCUAAGGUAGCGAAAUUCCUUGUCGGGUAAGUUCCGACCUGCACGAAUGGCGUAAUGAUGGCCAGGCUGUCUCCACCCGAGACUCAGUGAAAUUGAACUCGCUGUGAAGAUGCAGUGUACCCGCGGCAAGACGGAAAGACCCCGUGAACCUUUACUAUAGCUUGACACUGAACAUUGAGCCUUGAUGUGUAGGAUAGGUGGGAGGCUUUGAAGCGUGGACGCCAGUCUGCGUGGAGCCAACCUUGAAAUACCACCCUUUAAUGUUUGAUGUUCUAACGUUGGCCCCUGACCGGGGUUGCGGACAGUGUCUGGUGGGUAGUUUGACUGGGGCGGUCUCCUCCCAAAGCGUAACGGAGGAGCACGAAGGUUAGCUAAUCCUGGUCGGACAUCAGGAGGUUAGUGCAAUGGCAUAAGCUAGCUUGACUGCGAGCGUGACGGCGCGAGCAGGUGCGAAAGCAGGUCAUAGUGAUCCGGUGGUUCUGAAUGGAAGGGCCAUCGCUCAACGGAUAAAAGGUACUCCGGGGAUAACAGGCUGAUACCGCCCAAGAGUUCAUAUCGACGGCGGUGUUUGGCACCUCGAUGUCGGCUCAUCACAUCCUGGGGCUGAAGUAGGUCCCAAGGGUAUGGCUGUUCGCCAUUUAAAGUGGUACGCGAGCUGGGUUUAGAACGUCGUGAGACAGUUCGGUCCCUAUCUGCCGUGGGCGCUGGAGAAUUGAGGGGGGCUGCUCCUAGUACGAGAGGACCGGAGUGGACGCAUCACUGGUGUUCGGGUUGUCAUGCCAAUGGCACUGCCCGGUAGCUAAAUGCGGAAGAGAUAAGUGCUGAAAGCAUCUAAGCACGAAACUUGCCCCGAGAUGAGUUCUCCCUGAGACUUUAAGUCUCCUGAAGGAACGUUAAAGACGAUGACGUUGAUAGGCCGGGUGUGUAAGCGCAGCGAUGCGUUGAGCUAACCGGUACUAAUGAACCGUGAGGCUUAACCUU